Molecule: ribosomal RNA, 212 nt
Filed under: uncultured bacterium
Lineage: Bacteria
Description: partial 16S ribosomal RNA
Rfam family: Bacterial small subunit ribosomal RNA
Source: RNAcentral
CAGUUCGGAUUGCAGGCUGCAACUCGCCUGCAUGAAGUCGGAAUUGCUAGUAAUCGCGGAUCAGCAUGCCGCGGUGAAUACGUUCCCGGGCCUUGUACACACCGCCCGUCACACCAUGAGAGUUUGUAACACCCAAAGCCGGUGGGGUAACCUUUUGGAGCCAGCCGUCUAAGGUGGGACAGAUGAUUGGGGUGAAGUCGUAACAAGGUACC